Chelonia mydas (Green sea turtle) is the source of this 970-nucleotide long non-coding RNA. RefSeq lists it as uncharacterized. The record is from RefSeq and is a predicted model, not a curated record. Lineage: Eukaryota; Metazoa; Chordata; Testudines; Cheloniidae. The transcript has 3 exons.
GCUAACUAAAGAGAAGCUCACUUGUGAGGGACAGGCAGGGCUUCUACAAAAGACAGGAAACUGGAAGCAGUGGGGGCAGCAGACAGUCACUGGGAAGAGUGUUUCCGGGACUGCAAAGUUACUCCACGGGAGGAGGGAUUGAAGAGCAUGGCAAAUCCAGAGGAGAGGCUAGUCCCUGCCUGAGCCCCCUCUGGCGGUGGGCCCAUGGCCACCUCUAACCCUAGCUAGGGUAGCCAAUUUUGGUUGGAUGUAAUCCUAGAGGUUUCAUCAUGUUACAUAAUUAUUAAUUAAAACUUAAUCUUGGAGGAUUGGCAACCCUAACCCCAGCCCCAGUAUGCUUGUAUUUAGUAGAUGAAGAUGAGCGACCAGACUAGCCUGCCUGGGCUGGGGCCAAGGGGGAAGGGCAAGCAGAAGGGGGCCUUCAGGGAGAACGUGGGAAGGGCUAUGCCAGGAUGUUGGGGGAGGCACAGCCUUCCCUUACCUACGCUACCUACCACCUGUGCUUGAUGUACUUUGCCUCCAACAGCUCCCAAAAGGGAAACCACAAUAGUGACCUGGCUGGAGGACUGAGUCAUGAAGAGGACAGCUGUGGCUUCUGAAAGCUAAAGAUGAACUGCAGAGGAGAAAAUGGGGUAUAAUUGCUGGAAGAGGUGUCGGCCUGAUUGAGCUAAUCUCCAAAACUGCCGGGGCAGCACCAUCUAGUGGUAGCGACGGAAGCUGAGCAUGCGGUCCAGGGUUAUCCGUGGUGACCGCGGAUAGUGAUCGUGCAUAAACCGUGAUCCACAGACAUUGGUGUUUAAUGUCUUCUUGGCCUGGGUGGUAUCAAAUGGAAAGCUGAGAACUGUUUGAGCAUCUGAACAAGACUUUGGGUAAUCAGUCCUAUAAGAAGAGAGACGUCUCCCUUUUACAUAUGUUGGAAACCUCUCUACACCUGUUACUUCCUCUUUGCUGUGUAGAGAAUCUGAUCAGA